Molecule: long non-coding RNA, 1993 nt
Organism: Camelus dromedarius (Arabian camel)
Lineage: Eukaryota; Metazoa; Chordata; Mammalia; Artiodactyla; Camelidae
Exons: 2
Source: RefSeq, a predicted model, not a curated record
UCCACCCCGUUCGGGUGGUGUCUCGCCCUUGGGUGUGUCUGGACGUCUGUGCUGACGUAGCUUCUGCUUGUGGCUAUUGCGUCUCAGUUAUUGCUUCUUCUCUUGCUUGCAGCCAGGGAGGAUGCGCAGAGCCCGGCGUUGGCAAGGCUGGCGCCCUCCUCCGCACGACUCCGACGGCCGGGAGGUCCCAGGCAGCAGUCCCGUCGGGCCGGCUGGCCGCGCGGGCGCCUCCGAGCUCUGUGUUCGGCACACUCGGAACCGGCCCAGACCCGCUGUCCGAGGCCGUGGUGGAGCCCACGGACGUGCCCGCGUCUCCGGGCUGGAGCCUGGGGUCCCGCCCUCGGCUGCCUUCGAGCUGGGGCGCCGGGACACCUUCUUGUGUCCACUAGGGAACCGCAAAGUGGACGGGAUGAGAAAAGUACAGAACCGGGAACAAUGACAGGGUUCUGUGAGCAACCCUUAAACAUAAGAAAAAUGGGAGUGUAAAGAGGAGAUUGCGAAGGGCGGAAGGAUGGUUUUCCUACCUGCGAUUUGGUCCAGUCGGAGUCAUCUUAGAAGCCUCCACCGUAUUGGCUUUCCUUAAACAAUUCUCACUGGGACACUGCCGUGAUCAAAAACCCAGUGGCUCUUCAUUCUGCCAUUCAGUGCCUUCCACUCAAUCACUUUGUAACCUCACAGCUCAGGGGUCCCCUUAAUGCAGCACUUUCUCCUGCUUUGGGCUUGGACAUUGCCCCCCGCCAGGGACCUAAUUGUGUGCCUCUGGAAUUCACGUGUUGAAACUCUAAUCCCCAGUGUGAUGGUAUUUGGAGAUGAGACUUUGGGGAGGUAAUUAGGUUUAGAUGAGGUCAUGAGGGUGGGGCCUUCGUGAUAGGGUUAGUUCCCUGGUAAUUAGAGACACCAGAGAACUCACCCCUUCCACCUCUAAGGACACAGCCAAAACAAGGCAGCCUUCUGAAAGCCGGGAAGACUGACCAUGGGCACAUUGGUCUUGAAUUUAGCUCCCAGAACUGUGAGAAAUGUCUGCUGUUUGAGCAUCCAGUCUGUGAUAUUUUGUUACCACACCUUGAGCAGACUUAACACCAUCUCUGUGUUUGCAUGGUUUAAAAAUUAAACAGCAUUUCAAAUAUUAUGGAGGUCACUAUGGGAAUGAGAAAGAAAAGGGACAUAUAUGAACUGUAGUGUAAAGAAAAACAUAGUGAUUGAACAGGAAGAGAAAAAAUAUUGUGGGUUUUAGAGCUUCAGUGGUCUAAAGAAUGCUACUAUCAGAGAUGACUAUGGGGUGGUCAGUAAGAGGCUGGGAGUGUAAAAUCUAGGUACAAAUAGGACACCUUUCAGUGGAAAGGAAAAAGAUUGAUCCAGACAAUUUUUGUAAAAAGAUAGAAAGUGAUUCCCUAUGUCUUUGUUGUGCAUUCUUUCCAAAACUUUUGAAGAUAACCAAAAUUAAAUUAGUAAAAGCAAAAUCCUGUCACUUAAAUACAUAUAUGUUAAUUACCAACACAUAUAAGAUUAACUGGAUGGAAAGAGCAUGUAAAAAUACAGUAGGGGUUGAAAUAACAUGUUCGUAAUAGAGAAACAGGGUUGAAGUAUAUAGGAACUCUGCAAUAAUUCUGUAAAUCUAAAACUAAGUUUGUAAAAGAAAGGAAAAUCUGACUCAGAUAAGAGUUUUGGGGGGAGUUACUCAAAUCAACAAACUUUUUAAACUUGAUCUUAUAGAAAUUUUAGUACAAUAUUUCUGUCUUGUAUCUAGCAGAGUAGUUUAAGUUAUUGCUGCAGAUAAUCCCAAAAUUCCAGAGAGGAACCCUGCAGAGAUGGAAACUGGAAUAUUUGAUGCGCAGUAUUACAAUCUACCACUUGCCUCUCUAGAUGCACCAAAUGUAAGACUGGAUCUCAAAGACCCUUUGUAAUCUUAUGUGACUUCUGUUUGUCCUGUUAGCAAAAAGAAGACACUUUAAAUCCUUACGUUCUGCAGAAAUAAAACUCCAAAGAAAGCCCA